Molecule: ribosomal RNA, 467 nt
Filed under: uncultured bacterium
Lineage: Bacteria
Description: bacterial SSU rRNA
Rfam family: Bacterial small subunit ribosomal RNA
Source: RNAcentral
GUCCAGACUCCUACGGGAGGCAGCAGUGAGGAAUAUUGGUCAAUGGGAGAGAUCCUGAACCAGCCAAGCCGCGUGAGGGAAGACGGCCCUAUGGGUUGUAAACCUCUUUUGUCGGAGAACAAAACCCGGGACGUGUCCCGGACUGCGUGUAUCCGAAGAAAAAGCAUCGGCUAACUCCGUGCCAGCAGCCGCGGUAAUACGGAGGAUGCGAGCGUUAUCCGGAUUUAUUGGGUUUAAAGGGUGCGUAGGCGGAAUAUCAAGUCAGCGGUAAAAAUUCGGGGCUCAACCCCGUCGUGCCGUUGAAACUGAUGUUCUUGAGUGGGCGAGAAGUAUGCGGAAUGCGUGGUGUAGCGGUGAAAUGCAUAGAUAUCACGCAGAACCCCGAUUGCGAAGGCAGCCUUCCGGCGCCCUACUGACGCUGAGGCACGAAAGUGCGGGGAUCGAACAGGAUUAGAUACCCCUGUAUG